Molecule: ribosomal RNA, 690 nt
Filed under: Gnamptodon sp. BIOUG18764-E03
Lineage: Eukaryota; Metazoa; Arthropoda; Insecta; Hymenoptera; Braconidae
Description: partial 28S ribosomal RNA
Rfam family: Eukaryotic large subunit ribosomal RNA
Source: RNAcentral
AAAGUUGAAAAGAACUUUGAAGAGAGAGUUCAAGAGUACGUGAAACCGUUCAGGGGUAAACCUGAGAAACCCAAAAGAUCGAAUGGGGAGAUUCAUCGUCAGCUCAUUUUGUAUAUGUGUAAGUUAUGAUAUGGGUUACUACUUGUAGUAUUGCCUGUACAUUCUUAUAUAUUUUGUUGCAAGAUGUUGUCGGCGUGCACUUCUCCCCUAGUAGGACGUCGCGACCCGUUAGAUGUCAUUCUACGACCCGAGUGGUAGCCUUUGAUGUAUCUUUAACGAGUUAUAUUAAAGACCCUUGGUGUUUUUUGAUUGUCAUUUGGCGGUAUUCGUAUGGUAUUAAGCCGCAAUUAAUUUGCGUCCAUGACCGUCGCAAGCGAGGUUAAUUUUUAUGGUAGUACGGACCUAGUGCCGUCGCUAUAAUUGACCAGCUGUUGGUUGUACGGUUAUCUGGGACUGGCUUCAAAUUAAAAUACCGGUCAGCGAUGCUACUGCUUUGGGUACUUUCAGGACCCGUCUUGAAACACGGACCAAGGAGUCUAACAUGUACGCGAGUCAUUGGGAUAUUUUUAAAAAUUAAACCUAAAGGCGUAAUGAAAGUAAAAGUCGUCCUUGCGUCGACUGAGGGAGGAUGAGUUGUAUUAUUAUACAGCUCCGCACUCCCGGGGCGUCUCAUUCUCAUUACGAGAAGAG